UUGGAAUUUUACUGUCAGUUUUGUCGUUCGAGACUACAACUGGCAUACUCUGCAAGAAGAACUUUAAAGUCUUACUUAGUCUUUCAGUAGGUUUCUUCUCAAAUGCUGAUGUUUCACGUUUCUCCUCAAUUGAUGGUUUUUCAGACUUCUCUUCAACAGCUGGUUCUUCAGGUUUCUUCUCAACUGUUGGUUCUUCAGGUUUUUCUUCAACUACUGGUUCUUCAAGUUGGCUUACUUACAGAUAUGGCCUUGGAACAAGCUCCUUAACUUCUGAAAUUGUACACACAAAUUACCGGUAGGAUCUCGUAUUUCAAUAUUAGCUUGAUCUGACAAAGAAUUUAGCUAUCUUAUUUGACUCAAAAUUUUCAUUGUGCAUUGUCACCUAUUGAGAAUUUUCGAGGUCAAUGACAAGUACUCAUGUUAGACCAUUUAUCUCCAAUGUUCUUAUAAAGUUUCAAGAAUAGGAGAAGACUGAUUUGAAAAAUGUUUUCAUAAUCUCCUCCUGGUAUGUACUGAAGUGAGCAACUUUCUUUCCAGGAUAAGAAGUUUGUCUCACACAAUUAAACUGAAGAACGAGUUUUGGUUCUAAGCCCUUUUCCCUCCUAAAAGACCACACCUUAGACCAUAAGAACCUUCUUUUUAGAAUAUACAGCAAAUGGAAAAAGAAAAUAGGUAUCGAUCCCGCCCUGUUCACAUGUCAAUGCACACAACUUAAAUCACUUAUGUAUAUUUCGAAGGUCGAGAGGUUUCUCAAACCCGGAACUGGAGUUAAUUCGUAUUUAACCCUUUUGUUGGUUUUAAGUAUGCUAAGACCGGCUAUGUUGCGCUGACUCUCCAAAAUAUUGCUGCACCCAUGUCGGAUUCUCCAAAAAUACACUGGUUUUGGAGGAUCCGACACGCACCCGGCAACAUUUUUGAAGAGUCCGAGCAACAUAGAAGGCCGGUUAGCUGUAUUGAAGAACCCCUUUCUUCAUCCUUUUAGUCGCAACCAAACUCAGGCCCUAUUUUUCUCUCUAAUUUGUUGGAAAACCACAGGUUUUGGGAUUUGGAUUCUCAACUAAUAUGGUUCCAAAUGGUGUGUCAGAGAUAGAACUGAACCAAGUUUUCAUGCAUAGGAUUUUUAUUUAAUAGCACUUUUGGAUGAAUAACUCUUGUCCUUUGGAGAGAGUCAAGUUUUUCAAUACUAUUUAUUUAAGAAGAGCUUUUUUUGUAUCAGAUUGCAUUGAUUCAUUUCCGUGCUAAUUCGAAGUUUUUGAAUGAUAUUCUUUUAUGAGUAACUAUGGUCUUUUGGGGAGAGUCAAAGUUUUUCAGUACUAAUUUAUUUAACAAAAUCUUGUUGAGCAUAAAAAAUUGCAUUGCUUUGUUUCUGCGCUAUUUCUUUUAGGAUCAUAUUACCUUCAUACACAUAUCUAGAUCCAACCCUUUGUUGCCUAACAAGCGAAUCACAACUGAACUGUGGAGUGUAUCAAGAAUGAAUCUCACGUAGAGCUAAAGUUGUUUGCGAACCUUUAUAUGAACAUACAGCUUGGUCAGGAUGCUCUUCAAUUAGCAGGGUUCUAACUCCUAAAUUCCACGUUAAGUUAUGAGUUCUAUUGCAAAAGAAAUAAUUCGAGCCAGUUGAAUAUCUACUAAUUUGUAGACAUAAUCAACAUACAAGUUCCUGGAAGCAAGUUCAGGACUGCAAGACAAUGAUCAUACAUGAAGAUGGAUACCCUUAAUUUCAGUUCUUUAGUGACAAACUUUGAACUUUGAAGCAAAUGGUUAGUUCUGUAGUGAAUAGAAUACUUCAUACUAGAUCUAUAGUUGAUCAAUAGGAUACCUACUACCCUCUAUUUAUACUUCUUAGAGACUUCGUAAUCCUGUAAAUCCUUAUGGAACAAACAUAAAGGUUCCUCUUUCAAAUUUUUUACACAUACUUUAAGUUUGUGAAAGCAAGCUUGACUACUGCAAUAUGUUAUAGGAGAAUUAGAAACAGUUGCCGCUACAUGAGAAUGAUAAACACACAAGACGCUGAAGUGGCAUGCUCACAUAAAGUAAAGCUGGUUGACAAGUGAGUUA
Long non-coding RNA from Nicotiana attenuata, 2058 nucleotides. RefSeq lists it as uncharacterized. The record is from RefSeq and is a predicted model, not a curated record. The transcript has 3 exons. Lineage: Eukaryota; Viridiplantae; Streptophyta; Magnoliopsida; Solanales; Solanaceae.